This 75-nucleotide transfer RNA is filed under the name Clostridium sp. CAG:594. Its description in RNAcentral is "transfer RNA-Cys(GCA)". It matches the Rfam family "tRNA". From Rfam's summary of the family: Transfer RNA (tRNA) molecules are approximately 80 nucleotides in length. Their secondary structure includes four short double-helical elements and three loops (D, anti-codon, and T loops). RNAcentral also lists the same sequence under 2 other names. Lineage: Bacteria; Bacillati; Bacillota; Clostridia; Eubacteriales; Clostridiaceae. The record is from RNAcentral.
GGGGCUAUAGCCAAGCUGGUAAGGCAUUGGACUGCAACUCCACGAUCGCCGGUUCAAAUCCGGCUGGCCCCUCCA